Molecule: ribosomal RNA, 489 nt
Filed under: uncultured Allobaculum sp.
Lineage: Bacteria; Bacillati; Bacillota; Erysipelotrichia; Erysipelotrichales; Erysipelotrichaceae
Description: partial 16S ribosomal RNA
Source: RNAcentral
CACGUAGUUAGCCGUGACUUUCUGGCGGGGCACCAUCAGUCAGCACCCAUUUCCUGAUGCUGCCUUUUCCCCCGCAACAGAGCUUUACGACCCGAAGGCCUUCUUCACUCACGCGGCAUCGCUCGUUCAGGCUUGCGCCCAUUGACGAAAAUUCCCUACUGCUGCCUCCCGCAGGAGUCUGGGCCGUGUCUCAGUCCCAAUGUGGCCGUCCGCCCUCUCAGGCCGGCUAUGCAUCAUCGUCUUGGUGGGCCUUUACCCGCCAACCAACUAAUUCACCGCAGGUCCAUCCGCGCCCCAUCCCCUAAAGGAUGUUUCACAGAAAGAAGAUGCCUCCUUCCUGUACAUCGGGAUUUGUUCUCCGUUUCCAGAGCGUAUUCCCGGUGCGACGGGCACGGUUCCCUACGUGUUACCUCGACCCGUUCGCCACUAGAGACCCGAAGGUCUCGUCGUUCGACUUGCAUGUAUUAGGCAUGCCGCCAGCGUUCAUCC